Non-coding RNA from Acanthosepion pharaonis, 113 nucleotides. NCBI's taxonomy places the organism in Eukaryota, Metazoa, Mollusca, Cephalopoda, Sepiida, Sepiidae. The record is from the annotation of a GenBank genome assembly.
UUACGGCCACAUCGCGUUGAAACACUAGUUCCCGUCCGAUCACCGAAGUUAAGCAAUGUCGAGCCUGGUCAGCACCUACAUGGGUGACCGCUUCGUAAUGUCAGAUGCUGUAA